RNAcentral lists this long non-coding RNA (328 nucleotides) under Gossypium barbadense (sea-island cotton). RNAcentral describes it as "long non-coding RNA (GBAR_LNC014112)". Lineage: Eukaryota; Viridiplantae; Streptophyta; Magnoliopsida; Malvales; Malvaceae. The record is from RNAcentral.
UAUAAUUAAGCGUAAAAAAUAAAUAAGAAAUGGGCGAUAGCCCCAAUGGUUAAAGCAUUAGUUUCCCCCUUGUGAACCCCAAUUUGAGCCUCCACCUCUUUUUCCCCUUUCAUUUUAAUUUUAAAUUUUGGAAAAAUCUUGGGAAAAUUGCAGGUAACGUCGCUAGGGUUUACAAACCCUAGAAAUUAAAUGAAUUCUUUUCCUAAUUAGAAUUCACAAUUUGCUCCUUCUCAAAAUUCCAAUAGAAUUGGAAUUCCACCACAUCUUUUUCUUCUUUUCCUAAUUAGAUUUUCAUUUUGCCCAUUUUCAAAUCCUAAUAGAAUUUUCU